This 208-nucleotide unclassified non-coding RNA is filed under the name soil metagenome. RNAcentral describes it as "partial internal transcribed spacer 1". The record is from RNAcentral.
AUGAAUUUUGGAGUUCUACUGUGCCUGCCGUUCAUUCGGAUGUGUGCACGUAGCCUCUAUAAAUCCUUAUCAACACCUGUGCACCUUUAAAAAGGGGGGAGUCUGAUUAAGCAUUUUAUGAUGCUUAUGACGAAUAACCUCUUUUCUUAUACAAACUCUUUUAAUGCCUAUUAGAAUGUUCUCUGGCCGCAAGGCUAUAAAAUAUAAA